CCAAUCACCCACACACCCACGACCCCUUCUCUCCCACGCACCCACGGCUGCCAACCCUAGCCCUCUCCCUCCCACAGAUCUCAAUCGGCCCCGCCCCAACCCAAUCCCUAUCCCCACGUAGCCCAGCCCAAUCCGCCGCCGUCCUCUUCUCCAGUCGCACCGGUGACCUCCAACCUCAUCGCCGGCAGCCCCUCCCCUCUCCUCCUAGAUCCACUCGGGCUACUCAUGUCGUGGCCAGAUCCGGCAGGAACUCCCUCCCUCCCACCUCGCUCCACAUCCCGAUCCAGAUGCACAUACAGAUAGAGCUUUGGGCGCUCCUGCUCGGCUGCUCACGAGCACGGUCCUUGGACGACGUGGAUGUGCGCGAGGUGAUGCUAUACCGGACCGGGCUGGUCACGGCCACCGCCUCCGUCCUGGUGGCCACCUCGGGGGUGUUCCUGCCUGAGGAGAACGCGGUCGGUGACGCCAUCCGGGAGGGCGCCGACCUCUUCUACGCCGCCGGGGCCGGGGGGCUCACCCCCCCUCCGCGCGCAGUUCACCAUCCCGGAUCUCCGCCCCGGCAUGCUCGACUCCCUGCUUGCGCUCAGCGAUGACCUCGUCAAGUACAACAUCUUCAUCGAGGGCAUCUCCCACAAUAUCCGUCGGCAAAUCGAGGACCUGGAGCGUGCCGUAGGGGUCGAGCCCGGCACCCUCACCGUCGACGGCGUCCCCAUCGACAGCUACCUCACCGGGUCCGUCUUUGGCCGUGGCCAGUGCUGCUUCUUACAUUGCUCAUCUGCCUACCAGCGCUUGCUUACGUUGUACCCCGUCAAUGCCCCGCUCAAGGAGACCUUCGCCAGCAUCCAAUCCCAGGCCGCCAAGAUCCAGGAUGACAUGAAGGAGUUCAUUCUAUGCAGCCGGAGGUGUACGAGUUCAAGAUCGGCGGCCAGUUUUUUCGGAGGCCUGGAGACCCACCCUUGGACCAAGUUAUCGAGAUUCUACAGAAGCACAAGGAUAAGUCUCAAGAUGAAAUCUAGCUAGCUGGCUAUAGUAUGCCUUAUGCUCUUGUUGAUUUAUUUCUUUUGUGCUCUUUUGUAGUUCUAUAUUGAUGAGUGACUCAAAUUAGAAAUAUAUUCCAAUGUGUCUUUAUGUUUGGCAUCCACCAUUCACUGGCUCAGUGGCAUACCUUUUUACGGAGUCCCUAUACAGGUUAUUAUUCAUGUCAAUUUUAUGAUCAAAUUUGAGAUAUACUUACAAUGAGUAUUUGUGUUUGGCAUCUGCCAUUCUGGUUCUAGAUAUACUUACAUCGCUUCAUUCAAAUUUGACGCGCAACUGGUAUUUUUGAAAUGUUUCCUUCUGCUUGAUUUGUCGCCCAGCUGGUAUCUUUGAAAUGUUUCCUUUUGCUUGAUGAAUCAUUAGUUGUGCUUCUAAUAAUGUUUUCUGCCAGUACCUUAACUUUGGAGCUGGCUAUUUACUCUUUUCAGUGUACUAACCAAUCCUCUUUCCAGGUUGUCAAUUUGGAGCUGGCUAUUUACUGUCAGUGCAUUCAGCAACCUGACCUCCACGGCUCCAUGCAUGGUUGACUGGCCGAGCUCUGAGCUAGCAUGACCAUGGAUGCGGCUCUCGUCAGCAUGGCGACAGGGGUCCUCAAACCUGUCAUAGCGAAGCUGAUCGUUCUUCUUGGCAACAAGAAGAUGAUAAACCUUUUUAAGAUCAAGGGGCAGAAGAAGGAAGAGAUGUCUAACUCAAAUGGGGGGCCUCCUGUUAAGAAGCAAAGUCCAGAUGUCCUUUGUUCAUUGAAGUGCUGACUACUGCAACAAGUCCCAUGAUGAAGAAGCAAGAAUCCGCACCCAGCAAAGAGUAACUCAUUGGAGCUUGUUAUUGAUUGAUCUUUUUGUGUAUUAGAAAACUGGGUACUAUGUACUAUUAUUGUAAUGUACCAAGUUUGGAUGUAUUGAGAAAUAUUCUGUAUUUAUAGCCUAUAUUUGAACUGGAAAUAGACUGAAAAUGAUGCA
Non-coding RNA from Triticum urartu, 1994 nucleotides. The record is from RefSeq and is a predicted model, not a curated record. Lineage: Eukaryota; Viridiplantae; Streptophyta; Magnoliopsida; Poales; Poaceae.